Small nucleolar RNA from Bacillus rossius redtenbacheri, 64 nucleotides. NCBI's taxonomy places the organism in Eukaryota, Metazoa, Arthropoda, Insecta, Phasmatodea, Bacillidae. The record is from RefSeq and is a predicted model, not a curated record.
GGAGGCAGUGAUGAGGGUAUACCGCCCCAGUCUGAACUCUGAUGAUUGGUCUCUCUGAGCCUUG